Molecule: ribosomal RNA, 724 nt
Filed under: uncultured bacterium
Lineage: Bacteria
Description: bacterial SSU rRNA
Rfam family: Bacterial small subunit ribosomal RNA
Source: RNAcentral
GAUGAACGCUGACAGAAUGCUUAACACAUGCAAGUCUACUUGAUCCUUCGGGUGAUGGUGGCGGACGGGUGAGUAACGCGUAAAGAACUUGCCCUGCAGUCUGGGACAACAUUUGGAAACGAAUGCUAAUACCGGAUAUUAUGUGAGUUUCGCAUGAAAUUCAUAUGAAAGCUAUAUGCGCUGCAGGAGAGCUUUGCGUCCUAUUAGCUAGUUGGUGAGGUAACGGCUCACCAAGGCGAUGAUAGGUAGCCGGCCUGAGAGGGUGAACGGCCACAAGGGGACUGAGACACGGCCCUUACUCCUACGGGAGGCAGCAGUGGGGAAUAUUGGACAAUGGACCAAAAGUCUGAUCCAGCAAUUCUGUGUGCACGAUGAAGUUUUUCGGAAUGUAAAGUGCUUUCAGUUGGGACGAAGUAAGUGACGGUACCAACAGAAGAAGCGACGGCUAAAUACGUGCCAGCAGCCGCGGUAAUACGUAUGUCGCAAGCGUUAUCCGGAUUUAUUGGGCGUAAAGCGCGUCUAGGCGGUUUGAUAAGUCUGAUGUGAAAAUGCGGGGCUCAACUCCGUAUUGCGUUGGAAACUGCCAAACUAGAGUACUGGAGAGGUAGGCGGAACUACAAGUGUAGAGGUGAAAUUCGUAGAUAUUUGUAGGAAUGCCGAUGGGGAAGCCAGCCUACUGGACAGAUACUGACGCUAAAGCGCGAAAGCGUGGGUAGCAAACAGG